GACGAACGCUGGCGGCGUGCUUAACACAUGCAAGUCGAACGGAAAGGCCCUGCUUUUGUGGGGUGCUCGAGUGGCGAACGGGUGAGUAACACGUGAGUAACCUGCCCUUGACUUUGGGAUAACUUCAGGAAACUGGGGCUAAUACCGGAUAGGAGCUCCUGCUGCAUGGUGGGGGUUGGAAAGUUUCGGCGGUUGGGGAUGGACUCGCGGCUUAUCAGCUUGUUGGUGGGGUAGUGGCUUACCAAGGCUUAGACGGGUAGCCGGCCUGAGAGGGUGACCGGCCACAUUGGGACUGAGGUACGGACCAGACUCCUACGGGAGGCAGCAGUGGGGAAUAUUGCACAAUGGGCGGAAGCCUGAUGCAGCAACGCCGCGUGCGGGAUGACGGCCUUCGGGUUGUAAACCGCUUUCGCCUGUGACGAAGCGUGAGUGACGGUAAUGGGUAAAGAAGCACCGGCUAACUACGUG
Molecule: ribosomal RNA, 468 nt
Filed under: uncultured bacterium
Lineage: Bacteria
Description: partial 16S ribosomal RNA
Rfam family: Bacterial small subunit ribosomal RNA
Source: RNAcentral